This 573-nucleotide ribosomal RNA is filed under the name Salmonella enterica subsp. enterica serovar Derby. RNAcentral describes it as "partial 23S ribosomal RNA". The stretch from base 375 to 573 matches the Rfam family "Eukaryotic large subunit ribosomal RNA", at positions 1 to 199 of the family's 3401-position model. The record is from RNAcentral. Lineage: Bacteria; Pseudomonadati; Pseudomonadota; Gammaproteobacteria; Enterobacterales; Enterobacteriaceae.
UUUGUAAUACAAAACGACUCCCGGCAACGGAUAUCUCGGCUCUCGCAUCGAUGAAGAACGUAGCGAACUGCGAUACUUGGUGUGAAUUGCAGAAUCCCGUGAAUCAUCGAGUCUUUGAACGCAAGUUGCGCCCGAAGCCAUUAGGCCGAGGGCACGUCUGCCUGGGUGUCAUGCAUCGUUGCCCCAGCACAAAAUUGUGCCAGGGGCGGAUAUUGGCCUCCCGUGAGCUAGACUCGCGGUUGGCCUAAAUGCGAGUCCGUGGUGGCGAGCGCCAGGGCAUACGGUGGUUGAGUUCUUCUCGAAGCCAAGCCCCGCGCGCCCCGUCACUUGAUCGGCUCUAUCAACCCCAUCGCAUCUCACAGAUGCUUCCAACGUGACCCCAGGUCAGGCGGGGCUACCCGCUGAAUUUAAGCAUAUCAAUAAGCGGAGGAAAAGAAACUAACAAGGAUUCCCCUAGUAACGGCGAGCGAACCGGGAAUAGCCCACCAUGAAAAUCGGUUGCCCUCGGCAUCCGAAUUGUAGUCUGGAGAAGCGUCCUCAGCGACGGACCGAGCCCAAGUCCCCUGGAAGGGG